GUACGGAAUCGCUAGUAAUCGUGGAUCAGAAUGCCACGGUGAAUACGUUCCCGGGCCUUGUACACACCGCCCGUCACACCAUGGGAGUGAGUUGCAAAAGAAGUAGGUAGCUUAACCUUCGGGAGGGCGCUUACCACUUUGUGAUUCAUGACUGGGGUGAAGUCGUAACAAGGUAACCGUAGGGGAACCUGCGGUUGGAUCACCUCCUUACCUUAAAGAAGC
This 222-nucleotide ribosomal RNA is filed under the name Escherichia coli O157:H7 str. G5101. RNAcentral's name for it is "partial 16S ribosomal RNA". It matches the Rfam family "Bacterial small subunit ribosomal RNA", at positions 1324 to 1533 of the family's 1533-position model. Lineage: Bacteria; Pseudomonadati; Pseudomonadota; Gammaproteobacteria; Enterobacterales; Enterobacteriaceae. The record is from RNAcentral.